This 311-nucleotide ribosomal RNA is filed under the name uncultured bacterium. Its description in RNAcentral is "bacterial SSU rRNA". It matches the Rfam family "Bacterial small subunit ribosomal RNA", at positions 28 to 334 of the family's 1533-position model. The record is from RNAcentral.
GGUGAACGCUGGCGGCGUGCUUAACACAUGCAAGUCGAACGAACAGAGGAGAGCUUGCUCUCCAAAGUUAGUGGCGGACGGGUGAGUAACGCGUGGGUAACCUGCCUCAUGCAGGGGGAUAACAUCUGGAAACGGAUGCUAAUACCGCAUAAACUAUGGAUGACCGCAUGGUCAUUAUAGCAAAGAUUUAUCGGCAUGAGAUGGACCCGCGUUGGAUUAGCUAGUUGGUGAGAUAACAGCCCACCAAGGCGACGAUCCGAUAGCCGGCCUGAGAGGGUGAACGGCCACAUUGGGACUGAGACACGGCCCAA